This 126-nucleotide microRNA precursor is filed under the name Myotis brandtii (Brandt's bat). RNAcentral describes it as "mir-9193 microRNA precursor family". It matches the Rfam family "mir-9193 microRNA precursor family". Lineage: Eukaryota; Metazoa; Chordata; Mammalia; Chiroptera; Vespertilionidae. The record is from Rfam by way of RNAcentral.
CGUGUACUGGUGGGGUCCCUCGGCCUGGCCUGUACCCUCUCACAAUCUAGGACCCCUUGGGGAAUGUCAGAGAGCCAGUUUCAGCCUGAUCCCACAGGCCAGGCCGAGGGACCCCACUAGUGCACA